GCUGGGCAUGGUGGCGCGUGCCUGUAAUCCCAGCUACUUGGGAGGCUGAGGCAGAAGAAUCGCUUGAGCCCAGGAGGUGGAGGUUGCAGUGAGCAGAGAUCGCAUCACUGUACUCCAGCCUGGGCAACACAGCGAGACUCUGCCUCAA
This is an unclassified non-coding RNA of Pongo abelii (Sumatran orangutan), 148 nucleotides long. It matches the Rfam family "Metazoan signal recognition particle RNA". From Rfam's summary of the family: The signal recognition particle (SRP) is a universally conserved ribonucleoprotein. It is involved in the co-translational targeting of proteins to membranes. The eukaryotic SRP consists of a 300-nucleotide 7S RNA and six proteins: SRPs 72, 68, 54, 19, 14, and 9. NCBI's taxonomy places the organism in Eukaryota, Metazoa, Chordata, Mammalia, Primates, Hominidae. The record is from Ensembl.